AGGGUCUGGAGAUGGGGAGAUGAUCCCGGAUGAUCCAGGGAACCCCACAGGUUACCACAAGGUCCUUACGAGAAGAAGGCAGGAGGGAGAAAAUCAGAGAAGGAGCAGCAAGGACAAAGCGGGGUCAGGGUGAGAUGAGAGGACAGACACACAGAGACACGGAAACCAGCCCUGGGUCACACAGCUGGGAAGCGGCCGUGACUUUCCUACUCAGGCCCGUGGCACACGGAGCCCCAGAGAAAGGCUCAGGAGAAGGGAGACGCGUGGGACUAAUGGUCUUGGAAGCACAGCCGGGGUGACGGAAGGUUCAGGAUGGCCCCUCAGGAGACCUGAGCUCUCGCCCAAGAACGCUGGGGCAGCUGGAUACCUCUUCCAGGCCUCAGAUACCUCAUUUGUCAAAAGGGGGAGUCAGACAAAACCAUCUCUGAACUCCUUCUAACUAUAACAUGUGUGGUCUGAAAUUUUUAAAAAGGGAAAGGCAAAGAAAGCAGAGAAGAGGUGAAGAGAGGAGGGGAAAAAAGAACAGAGAAAAAUCUCUGUGUGCUGGGGGACUGCUUUCCUUCUAGCUCUGAUGUACUUAUCUCUGUCCAUAAAGAGAAAUCCCUCCCCAUCAUACUGUUGACUUUUGGCCCUUCGUCUACAUUACCAAACCUCGUUCUUACUGCAUCUGUGCUUCUAUUAUGAGUGGCGUCUUUCCAUCCUGAAGUAGGCAGGGUAAAAACAAAUGAAACCAGGGAUCCCAAUUACCUCACUUGUCUGUGUUCAACGGCAGAGGCACAGAGAGCCGAAAAUGCAAGAACACGGUAGCUAGGAGGGACCGAUUCUCAUGCAGGGACAACAGUGCCAGCCCUAGGCAGUAUCACAGGUGCUGGGUUGGGGUCUGGGCUGAGAAUCUGGGUCUCAUCAGCGACAUCAACAUGGAUCAUGCCACCAGCAGUGACAGCAUCUUCAUGCAGCCAGAAGCCGCUGACUCUAUGAAGAAUGGAAGACGGCCUCGAGUACUUUCCAGGUACUGGCACAUUGCCAAGGCCUCUCACGUCCCCCUUCCUGCCUGAAAAUCCACUGUUCAUGUGCUACUUCUGCCAGAGGUUUAGAUAAGAGGAGGGAGUACACAGUUGUCUGAAGGUAAGGGGCACCAUCCUGGGACCUUCCACAUACUCCUCAGUGAGCAAUAGUGCACCCUAUGUUUGAACUGAGGAGACAGGGAGACUUGAGGCAGAUCAGGGCUUCUGGACCGUGGUUCAAUUUGCUGCCCAGGUCCAUCCGGGGGCAGCAUCCCUGGCACCAUUUGCUUUUACCUAAUAAUCCAACACACGCACUAAAGAAAGGAGGAAAGUCACCCCUGCUUCCAUCUCUCAUCUACUGCAUUCAUGGCCCA
This 1378-nucleotide long non-coding RNA is filed under the name Pan troglodytes (chimpanzee). RNAcentral's name for it is "long non-coding RNA NONPTRT014421". The record is from RNAcentral. Lineage: Eukaryota; Metazoa; Chordata; Mammalia; Primates; Hominidae.